This 253-nucleotide ribosomal RNA is filed under the name uncultured bacterium. RNAcentral describes it as "partial 16S ribosomal RNA". It matches the Rfam family "Bacterial small subunit ribosomal RNA", at positions 524 to 776 of the family's 1533-position model. The record is from RNAcentral.
UACGUAGGGAGCGAGCGUUGUCCGGAAUUACUGGGCGUAAAGGGUGCGUAGGCGGUGAGCCAAGUCAGAUGUGAAAUCCCCGGGCUUAACUCGGGAGUUGCAUUUGAAACUGGUUUACUUGAGUGCAGGAGAGGAAAGCGGAAUUCCUAGUGUAGCGGUGAAAUGCGUAGAUAUUAGGAGGAACAUCAGUGGCGAAGGCGGCUUUCUGGACUGUAACUGACGCUGAGGCACGAAAGCGUGGGGAGCAAACAGG